RNAcentral lists this ribosomal RNA (869 nucleotides) under uncultured bacterium. RNAcentral describes it as "bacterial SSU rRNA". It matches the Rfam family "Bacterial small subunit ribosomal RNA", at positions 636 to 1502 of the family's 1533-position model. The record is from RNAcentral.
UAAAUUUAGAGUUNUUGUGGAGGGGGGGUAGAAUUUCCAGGUGUAGGCGUGAAAUGUGUAGAGAUUUGAAGGAAUACCGGUGGCGAAGGCGGCCCCCUGGACAGAUACUGACACUCAGAUGCGAAAGCGUGGGGAGCAAACAGGAUUAGAUACCCUGGUAGUCCACGCCGUAAACGAUGUCUACUUGGAGGUUGUGGCCUUGAGCCGUGGCUUUCGGAGCUAACGCGUUAAGUAGACCGCCUGGGGAGUACGGUCGCAAGAUUAAAACUCAAAUGAAUUGACGGGGGCCCGCACAAGCGGUGGAGCAUGUGGUUUAAUUCGAUGCAACGCGAAGAACCUUACCUACUCUUGACAUCUACAGAAGCCAGCGGAGACGCAGGUGUGCCUUCGGGAACUGUAAGACAGGUGCUGCAUGGCUGUCGUCAGCUCGUGUUGUGAAAUGUUGGGUUAAGUCCCGCAACGAGCGCAACCCUUAUCCUUGUUUGCCAGCACUUCGGGUGGGAACUCCAGGGAGACUGCCGGUGAUAAACCGGAGGAAGGUGGGGACGACGUCAAGUCAUUAUGGCCCUUACGAGUAGGGCUACACACGUGCUACAAUGGCGCAUACAGAGGGCGGCCAACUUGCGAAAGUGAGCGAAUCCCAAAAAGUGCGUCGUAGUCCGGAUUGGAGUCUGCAACUCGACUCCAUGAAGUCGGAAUCGCUAGUAAUCGUGGAUCAGAAUGCCACGGUGAAUACGUUCCUGGGCCUUGUACACACCGCCCGUCACACCAUGGGAGUGGGCUGCAAAAGAAGUGGGUAGUUUAACCUUCGGGAGGACGCUCACCACUUUGUGGUUCAUGACUGGGGUGAAGUCGUAACAAGGUAACCG